Molecule: microRNA precursor, 68 nt
Filed under: Nematostella vectensis (starlet sea anemone)
Lineage: Eukaryota; Metazoa; Cnidaria; Anthozoa; Actiniaria; Edwardsiidae
Description: microRNA nve-mir-9433 precursor
Source: miRBase by way of RNAcentral
AGCGAUGUUCGGUGAAAUUUAGAACCACUAAGUGAUAUAGGGAAUUCUAAAUUUCACCGUACGCUAAA